AUUCAUAUUUUUAUCUGCAGUUCCUCGAUAUUCCAAAUUGAUUCAAAAGAAUGUAUCGUGUUGUCACCAAGAUCAACCCAAUAUAACAGCUGACGUCCCAGUCUCGAAGUUCAUCACAAAGGGAGUUCCUC
Long non-coding RNA from Saccostrea cuccullata (small rock oyster), 131 nucleotides. RefSeq lists it as uncharacterized. The record is from RefSeq and is a predicted model, not a curated record. The transcript is spliced from 3 exons. Lineage: Eukaryota; Metazoa; Mollusca; Bivalvia; Ostreida; Ostreidae.